This 2135-nucleotide long non-coding RNA is filed under the name Camarhynchus parvulus. RNAcentral's name for it is "lncRNA (ENSCPVG00000007754.2)". The record is from RNAcentral. Lineage: Eukaryota; Metazoa; Chordata; Aves; Passeriformes; Thraupidae.
GGCGAGGGGUCCCCGCCCGCCGCCGCCUCGGCAAUAUUUUUUUUUUCCUCUCUCCGACCUGGUCACACACGGUGUUUACUCGCAGACAAGGUUUGUUUUCGGUCUCCGCUAGGAUGAAGGAAAAAAAAAAAAAAGACACAAAAAAAAAAAAACCCUCACCAACCCCACUGCAAAACAAAACCCAAACAAAAAGGAAGGGAAAAAAAAAAACGAGAAAAAGAAAAAAAGAAAAAAAAGGGAAAACCCACGGAAAAAUAGAAAAUGAAAAGAAAAAAAGAGAACGAAAAACCCGACAGAAAAGGAAAGACAGAUGUGUGCCUAUGAAUAACCUUCCAGCGCCUUGGUUAUAUCAGCUGUAUUUCAGCCGAACCUCGGAGAAAACAAUACCCAGCCCUUCUGCCAGCAGUGUAGGGGGGAAAAAAUUACCUUUAGGAAUCCUGAGGAGCGGCCCGAGAAGGGAGUGAGCUCUGGUCUUCAAUAAGCAGCAGCAGCACGCGAGUGGACAGGCGCCUUCCCACUGCACUGCCAGCACACCACCCCUCCUGCACCUGGGAGCGAGAGGGAUUUGGGAUGUGAACAGUGGGCUAUGCAUUGUUUCUGAACCAUAAAACUGAUUUAUUUCAUUGCUAAAUCUCUGUGAGCUGCAGCACCACGGCCUUGGGGGCAACGGGCCUGCGGCCGCCCCUGCGCUGGGCAGCGGGGCCCGGGUGGCUCCACUGAGGGACCACGACCUCCAGCUCUCUCUCCAGAAGGAUUACAGCAGCAGCAGAAGGAAAUAUAACCCCCAAAAGGCCGAUUUUUCAGUCAGCUCCAGGAACAGGAUGAAUGCGGCAUGGUGACCAAAGCUCAGGAAUAAAGAGCCGUGGUUUGUAAACAGCCCCAGCUGAGGAGAUGGAGGAGAAGGUCCAGGUUAAAGCCAGCCCUGGUUAAAUCCAACCCGGGUUAAAGCCAGCCCUGCGUGCUCCUGGUGCCUCUGGGCCCAGGGAGGCAAAGCUCCUCAAGGCAGCUUUGGUUUGGAGGAGGGACAGAAGGCGUUUCACUGAAAUUAGCCUGUUUUAGAGCCCUUUGGCUGCUCUGUAAAUACAACCACAGCGAGGGCUGGGUUAUGUCUUAUUUUAAAACAAAUUAGGUUGAGACAAAAGGGAUGCAAUGAAAGACGAAAUCAAGUAAGUUUAUAAACAGAAGCACUUCAAAGGCUGCUGGAAAGCUGGAGAAAAUAGGAGAAUUUUGUCUAAAGAAAAGAAAAUCUCUGCUGGUUAUUGCCCAUCGAUUUCAGUGUUCCUGUGAGCAAAAGGAAACUCUUUUGUGCCACCUAAUGUUAAGUACAGAUCACUGUUGUCUUCUUCACUGCCCAUCAUCCGUGGUGAGCAUGGGGAGCCCUCAGGGUGCUGAGCCCAUCAAGGUGGAGCUCAGCAUCCCAAAGUCCCACCAAACCAAGGGCAGGGAGAGAGAAACUUCAGCUUCACAAUUACCUUCUGAAUUUAGGGAUUUUUUUUUUAAAAAAGAACUCAGGAGGGGGUGGAGAGAAGCACGGGGUAGAAUCAUAAGAAUGAGAGACUCCAAAUUUGGGCUUUGUUAUAAAAAAGUAGCUGCAGAACGAGCACAUUAGGGUUUAUAUAAGCUGCCCACCCCCAAGCUCCAUCUCAGCAGCCUCUGGGCUUGGGGGAGCUUCUCCCUCCGCUCUCCUCAAGAACCCAAGUGGCCUGGCCUUUGCACACCCGUCUCUCCCAGCUGGAAGAAUUUUGGUGUGUACUUAGCAGCUAUUCACAUUAAUUUAGUAUGUAAAUAUCUCACACAAUCCUUUAAGGAAAGAGCUGAAAGCAAGUGUUUCUCUGAUGACAAUAAAUUGCACCGUUUUUGUGAUUUUAAUGCUGAGUGUUAAAUGUCUUUAGCAAUUUUUGGGGCUGAAUCUUCCAUGCUUUCUAUAUUAUACUGAAAAAAAAAAAACCAACCAGAGGCUUCAUUUGAGUUAAGUUUUCAAUAUUUGUAAGGUAUGCUCUUUAAAGAUGGCCAGGACAUGUGAGAGGGUUCUCUUGAAAGAAAAAAAUUACUAGAAGUAGGCAGAGAUGCCAUUUCACUUUAGGUGGUCACUACAGAUCAUUCAAAAUAUGGACCAAUCAAUCCAUACCUAGGCU